GAUGAACGCUAGCGACAGGCCUAACACAUGCAAGUCGAGGGGCAGCACGGUGUAGCAAUACACGGGUGGCGACCGGCGCACGGGUGAGUAACGCGUAUGCAACCUGCCUACUACAAGGGGAUAACCCGUUGAAAGACGGACUAAUACCCUAUAACACAGGGAAUCCGCAUGGAUAUAUUUGUUAAAGAUUUAUCGGUAGUAGAUGGGCAUGCGUUCCAUUAGCUUGUUGGUGAGGUAACGGCUCACCAAGGCAACGAUGGAUAGGGGAACUGAGAGGUUGAUCCCCCACACUGGAACUGAGACACGGUCCAGACUCCUACGGGAGGCAGCAGUGAGGAAUAUUGGUCAAUGGACGAGAGUCUGAACCAGCCAAGUCGCGUGAAGGAAGACGGCCCUACGGGUUGUAAACUUCUUUUGUAAGGGAAUAAAUAGUCUUACGCGCUAAGACGUUGCAGGUACCUUACGAAUAAGGAUCGGCUAACUCCGUG
Molecule: ribosomal RNA, 488 nt
Filed under: uncultured bacterium
Lineage: Bacteria
Description: bacterial SSU rRNA
Rfam family: Bacterial small subunit ribosomal RNA
Source: RNAcentral